UUACCACUCUGGCCUUUUGGCUUAGAUCAAGUGUAGUAUCUGUUCUUAAUAGUUUAACCACUAUUAUGGAGGCACCGCCUCCAUUCUUUGGUUAUCUAAUUUUUGCCGCCCUUGUCCUCUUGUGCUCUGCUUGCAACACGAGGGGCGUGAUGACCUUGCUACUGCACUUACUGGCUUGCGUCGUCGGGGGAUC
Serpula lacrymans var. lacrymans S7.3 is the source of this 193-nucleotide small nuclear RNA. It matches the Rfam family "U2 spliceosomal RNA". From Rfam's summary of the family: U2 is a small nuclear RNA (snRNA) component of the spliceosome (involved in pre-mRNA splicing). Complementary binding between U2 snRNA (in an area lying towards the 5' end but 3' to hairpin I) and the branchpoint sequence (BPS) of the intron results the bulging out of an unpaired adenosine, on the BPS, which initiates a nucleophilic attack at the intronic 5' splice site, thus starting the first of two transesterification reactions that mediate splicing. The record is from Rfam. Lineage: Eukaryota; Fungi; Basidiomycota; Agaricomycetes; Boletales; Serpulaceae.